This 583-nucleotide ribosomal RNA is filed under the name uncultured bacterium. RNAcentral describes it as "bacterial SSU rRNA". It matches the Rfam family "Bacterial small subunit ribosomal RNA", at positions 260 to 852 of the family's 1533-position model. The record is from RNAcentral.
AUGGCCUACCAAGGCGGUGACGGGUAGCCGGCCUGAGAGGGCGACCGGCCACACUGGGACUGAGACACGGCCCAGACUCCUGCGGGAGGCAGCAGUGGGGAAUAUUGCACAAUGGGCGAAAGCCUGAUGCAGCGACGCCGCGUGAGGGAUGACGGCCUUCGGGUUGUAAACCUCUUUCAGCAGGGACCAAGCGCAAGUGAGUGUACCUGCAGAAGAAGCACCGGCUAACUACGUGCCAGCAGCCGCGGUAAUACGUAGGGUGCGAGCGUUGUCCGGAUUUAUUGGGCGUAAAGGGCUCGUAGGCGGCCUGUCGCGUCGGAAGUGAAAGCCCACUGCUUAACGGUGGGUCUGCUUCCGGUACGGGCAGGCUGGAGUAUGGCAGGGGAGACUGGAAUUCCUGGUGUAGCGGUGGAAUGCGCAGAUAUCAGGAGGAACACCGGUGGCGAAGGCGGGUCUCUGGGCCAUUACUGACGCUGAGGAGCGAAAGCGUGGGGAGCGAACAGGAUUAGAUACCCUGGUAGUCCACGCCGUAAACGUUGGGCGCUAGGUGUGGGGACUGUUUCCACGGUCUCCGUGCCGUCGC